CCUACGGGAGGCAGCAGUGGGGAAUAUUGGGCAAUGGAGGCAACUCUGACCCAGCAACGCCGCGUGAAUGAUGAAGGUCUUCGGAUUGUAAAGUUCUUUUCUAAGGGAAGAAGAAAGUGACGGUACCUUAGGAAUAAGCCUCGGCUAACUACGUGCCAGCAGCCGCGGUAAUACGUAGGGGGCAAGCGUUAUCCGGAUUUACUGGGUGUAAAGGGAGCGUAGACGGCAGUGCAAGUCUGGAGUGAAAGGCGGGGGCUCAACCCCCGGACUGCUCUGGAAACUGUACGGCUGGAGUGCAGGGGAGGUAAGUGGAAUUCCUAGUGUAGCGGUGAAAUGCGUAGAUAUUAGGAGGAACACCAGUGGCGAGGGCGGCUUACUGGACUGUAACUGACGUUGAGGCUCGAAAGCGUGGGGAGCAAACAGGAUUAGAUACCCCAGUAGUC
This 443-nucleotide ribosomal RNA is filed under the name uncultured bacterium. RNAcentral's name for it is "partial 16S ribosomal RNA". It matches the Rfam family "Bacterial small subunit ribosomal RNA", at positions 338 to 795 of the family's 1533-position model. The record is from RNAcentral.